GCCAGCAUGAUUUAGUUCCCAGGGUAAGUAAACUCCUCCUUUCUGGAUGAGAUGAAGCCUUGAGACAAUAAAAAUGUGCCCCUCCUCCAAUAUGUAGGUGAUAGUACCAGCUAAGCCAGAGAGGAGGGAUGAGGCCCCUUCUUGAUGACAUAGCCUUUUGGGAGAUGGACCAACAAGAAGGUGCUGAACCUGAUGAUGGGGAGCUGUGGGAAUGGGAGAGCCAGCAUCAGCCUCAUGUUGCCACUGUCAUCAUGGCGUAGCCUCUGCUGUCCUGAGAGCUCUCUGUGGAGCAACUCACCUGACUCUCACAACAGCACCAUGAGGAACUCAGGGUCAACACCAUCACCAUUUCCAGACAAUGAGUCCAAAAGAGAAGACUGGACUUCGGAGCUCAACAGGCCUGCACUGAAAUCCCAUCUGAAAUCUGCCACUGACCAGCCGUGACCUGGGGCACUAUCCCCACGUUACAGAGGAAACAGAGGAUACUCAAGGUGAUGUGACCUUCCCAAGAUGACUCAUGAUUUAGAAGAAUGGACUCUGACUCCCAGGCCAGUGCUCCAUCCACUGCAUCCUGGGCUUUCGGGGGAGCAGAGGUCCCAGAAUCCCCCACAUCCUGCCAGGGAGCCAGCUUCCUGAACAUGUGUCAUCAGGUGGGUCCCAGGAUGCUCAGAAGGGUGGGAACUCUGCCGAGGACACUGAGGGCAAGUGUCCCAGGAGGGGAGCUGAGCCAGAACAUCAUCCCUCACAUUCCCACUGGCCACUGUGCUUUAACAAAACCAUACUUUUAUUUCCAUCGCCAUAGAAUGCAUGCACACAUGCAUGAAUGAAUAAACUCAAAUACAUCAUUA
Molecule: long non-coding RNA, 848 nt
Filed under: Homo sapiens (human)
Lineage: Eukaryota; Metazoa; Chordata; Mammalia; Primates; Hominidae
Description: HSALNT0004130
Source: RNAcentral